AAAGUCGUAACAAGGUAUCCGUAGGUGAACCUGCGGAUGGAUCAUUAAAAAAGGAGUGGGCGGCUGGUCGCAAGGCCGGUCGCCUGCCGAACCCACCCUUGUGCAACGUAACCGUAGCCUGGGGGCUGCUUCCGGGCGGCCCCCGAGGGCCCGACUCUAACCGGUCGGCGCGCUCGAACCAACCAACCCUUUAACCAUCAGUCUGAACGUUAAGAAAUCUAAUGCAAAACAACUUUUGACAACGGAUCUCUUGGCUCUC
RNAcentral lists this unclassified non-coding RNA (259 nucleotides) under Chytridiomycota sp. RNAcentral describes it as "partial contains small subunit ribosomal RNA, internal transcribed spacer 1, and 5.8S ribosomal RNA". The stretch from base 1 to 47 matches the Rfam family "Eukaryotic small subunit ribosomal RNA", at positions 1785 to 1831 of the family's 1831-position model. Lineage: Eukaryota; Fungi; Chytridiomycota. The record is from RNAcentral.